GGCAGCUUUUGUGUCAGGCUGUUUACUGUUAUCACCAGUGUCGAUAAGAGGCCGAUCUCCAUCGACAAGUGUUGUAGCAGAUUCAGACUUUGGUUUCUGAACAACAGGAUUUCCAGAAGAAAUAGAUUCAUGCCUAGCAAGUAGCCUCUGAAGAUCAUCAUUAAGUGCAAGUCCUUGGCAAAGUAGUGACUCAUCCGCAGUUGAGUUAACAAGGUGAACCACCCUCUGUUUGUAAGUACGGCACUGGUCAACCAAGUCAACAAUAACUUCCUGUCUGAUAGCCUCUUUAUUCCCUGGUUC
RNAcentral lists this unclassified non-coding RNA (300 nucleotides) under Hevea brasiliensis (rubber tree). Lineage: Eukaryota; Viridiplantae; Streptophyta; Magnoliopsida; Malpighiales; Euphorbiaceae. The record is from RNAcentral.